AACGAACGCUGGCGGCAUGCCUAACACAUGCAAGUCGAACGCGUGGAGCGAUCCACGAGUGGCGCACGGGUGAGUAACGCGUGGGAACCUGCCCUGGAGUGUGGGAUAACCCGGCGAAAGCCGGGCUAAUACCGCAUACGACCUGAGGGUGAAAGAUUUAUCGCUCUAGGAGGGGCCCGCGUCGGAUUAGCUAGUUGGUGAGGUAAUGGCUCACCAAGGCGAUGAUCCGUAGCUGGUCGGAGAGGAUGAUCAGCCACACUGGGACUGAGACACGGCCCAGACUCCAACGGGAGGCAGCAGUGGGGAAUAUUGGCCAAUGGGGGCAACCCUGAUCCAGAAAUGCCGCGUGGGGGAUGAAGGCCUUCGGGUUGUAAAGCCCUUUUGCACGCGACGAUGAUGACGGUAGCGUGAGAAGAAGCCCCGGCUAACUUCGUGCCAGCCGCCGCCGUAA
Molecule: ribosomal RNA, 451 nt
Filed under: uncultured bacterium
Lineage: Bacteria
Description: partial 16S ribosomal RNA
Rfam family: Bacterial small subunit ribosomal RNA
Source: RNAcentral